This 497-nucleotide ribosomal RNA is filed under the name uncultured bacterium. RNAcentral's name for it is "partial 16S ribosomal RNA". It matches the Rfam family "Bacterial small subunit ribosomal RNA", at positions 28 to 507 of the family's 1533-position model. The record is from RNAcentral.
GAUGAACGCUGGCGGCGUGCCUAAUACAUGCAAGUCGAGCGAACAGACGAUGAGCUUGCGCCUCUGACGUUAGCGGCGGACGGGUGAGUAACACGUGGAUAACCUACCUAUAAUACUGGGAUAACUUCGGGAAACCGGAUCUAAUACCGGAUAAUAUAUUGAACCGCAUGGUUCAAUAGUGAAAGACGGUUUUGCUGUCACUUAUAGCUGGUUCCGCGUCGCAUUAGCUAGUUGGUAAGGUAACGGCUUACCAAGGCGACGAUGCGUAGCCGACCUGAGAGGGUGAUCGGCCACACUGGAACUGAGACACGGUCCAGACUCCUACGGGAGGCAGCAGUAGGGAAUCUUGCGCAAUGGGCGAAAGCCUGACGGAGCAACGCCGCGUGAGUGAUGAAGGUCUUCGGAUCGUAAAGCUCUGUUAUUAGGGAAGAACAGAUGUGUAAGUAACUAUGCACGUCUUGACGGUACCUAAUCAGAAAGCCACGGCUAACUACGUG